RNAcentral lists this long non-coding RNA (469 nucleotides) under Ananas comosus (pineapple). RNAcentral's name for it is "long non-coding RNA (ACOM_LNC037339)". Lineage: Eukaryota; Viridiplantae; Streptophyta; Magnoliopsida; Poales; Bromeliaceae. The record is from RNAcentral.
UUUUUUUUUUUUUUUGUUUUUUAGAGAUAGGUAGCACGCUACCCGCUUCGUUUAUUUCAUUUAGAAAUAAACUUAACUGUAAAUGUGAAUCAACUAGGAUUCGAACUUGGGUCUCGGAUGCCAACCACCAAACCCUUUGUCACUUGCUCUAGAGACGGUCGGUAAUUAGCUGCUUCAUCAGUAUUUAUUCCCGCAUAUAUAUAUAUAGUCAUAGGUGUCAAUGGGUUAAUUGAAUUUAUCUUGUUUAUUUGGCUCAUAAAAUUGGUGCAUGCCCAAUAAAUGCUAGGAUUACACUAGGACAAUAUUAUAUAUUAGCAUUAAACUUGCUAAAUCUUAUGUCUCUAUAAUAACUAGGCAACAAUCUUGGGUUUACAUCAAUCAUAGAUCCAAAAGCCAAAGACCUAAUUAAUUUUGGUAUUAAGUAGCAUCAACAUUAUUAAUGAGAUUCACUUCAAACUCCCACAUGGGC